CUACGGGGCGCAGCAGUCGAGAAUCUUCCGCAAUGGGCGCAAGCCUGACGGAGCAAUGCCGCGUGAGGGAUGACGGCCCUAGGGUUGUAAACCUCUGUCAGAAGGGACGAAGAACGUGACGGUACCUUCAGAGGAAGCCAUGGCUAACUACGUGCCAGCAGCCGCGGUAAUACGUAGAUGGCGAGCGUUAUUCGGAUUUACUGGGCGUAAAGGGUCCGUAGGGGGUCUGCCAAGUCUGAUGUGAAAUCCUGCGGCUCAACCGCGGAACUGCAUUGGAAACUGGCGGACUAGAGUGUGCGAGGGGUGAGCGGAAUUCCUGGUGUAGCGGUGGAAUGCGUAGAUAUCAGGAAGAACACCGAUGGCGAAGGCGGCUCACUGGCGCAUCACUGACCCUGAGGGACGAAAGCGUGGGUAGCAAACAGGAUUAGAUACCCUCGUAGUC
This 442-nucleotide ribosomal RNA is filed under the name uncultured bacterium. RNAcentral describes it as "partial 16S ribosomal RNA". It matches the Rfam family "Bacterial small subunit ribosomal RNA", at positions 339 to 795 of the family's 1533-position model. The record is from RNAcentral.